RNAcentral lists this ribosomal RNA (360 nucleotides) under uncultured bacterium. RNAcentral's name for it is "bacterial SSU rRNA". It matches the Rfam family "Bacterial small subunit ribosomal RNA", at positions 29 to 414 of the family's 1533-position model. The record is from RNAcentral.
AACGAACGCUGGCGGCAGGCUUAACACAUGCAAGUCGAACGGGUGCAGCAAUGCAUCAGUGGCAGACGGGUGAGUAACACGUGGGAACCUUCCUAGGGGUACGGAACAACUCAGGGAAACCUGAGCUAAUACCGUAUACGUCCGUAAGGAGAAAGAUUCAUCGCCCCUAGACGGGCCCGCGUCGGAUUAGGUAGUUGGUGGGGUAACGGCCUACCAAGCCUGCGAUCCGUAGCUGAUCNGAGAGGAUGAUCAGCCACACUGGGACUGAGACACGGCCCAGACUCCUACGGGAGGCAGCAGUGGGGAAUCUUGGACAAUGGGCGCAAGCCUGAUCCAGCCAUGCCGCGUGAGUGAAGAAGG